GUGGUGGGGCGCGCCUGUAGUUCCAACAACUCGGGAGGCUGAGGCAGGAGAAUCGCUUGAACCCGGAGGCGGCGGUUGCGGUUAACCGACAUAGCGCCACCGCACUCCAGCCUGGGCAAUAAGAGCAAAACUCCGUCUCAAAAAAGAAAGAAAAAAAGAAAAAGAAAGUUGCUAAUGGCUGCCUGGCCACUUGGCAGGAAUGGAGCUGAAAGCUGGAUAACUCCCAACAAACCACUUAAGUUUAUUGACAACGUUUAUAAUUGCAACCGAAGUUGACUGAUUUCUGCUAAAUGAAAGGUUGCGCUUUGCCUUUUAGCAUGGAGGAUCCUGGAAAGAACUUCAAUGAAAUUGGGCGCAUCCAAAGAAAAAAAGGGAACAUUUCUAUCUCUAAGGUAUCUUUCUCCCCAGAGCUUACAAACACUUCUUAAACACAGCCUCUGAUGUUAGUGUUUUGUAAGUACUACCUAUGAGUAAAGCGAGCAGAGAUAAGCUUCUCCUUGUAGGAAAGGAGCUGGAGAAGUGGAAGAGUUUACAGAGAAAACUCUACAACAAAGAGUUAACCCUUCCCUGGUAACCUCGGAUGUGAGCGUUUGCCCCGCCUUUGCUUUCUACUGUGCAACCAAACUGUGUACAAGCUUGAAUCAACUUUAGUCGUCACAUAGCUUGCCAGUUAGCUUAACAGACAUUUUUGGCAGCCUAUCAUAACUUCGAAAUGCCCAACCCUCAACCAAUUACAACUAAAGCUUGGGCUAGGACGCUCCAGGUCCGGGCGGGGGCGAAUACCGGGUUCAGGAAAAGGGGAGGUAAAGACGCGAUGACGGGCGGGUAUACUAAGCCAAUCAAAGAGGAAAACUGCCGCCCCACUAGCCAAUGGAUAGGUUAGAAGUAUGAAAGGGGGUGGGCCUGUUGUCAUGGGGGAGGUGGUGGCGCUUGGUGGCCACUGGCGGCCGAGGUAGAGGCAGUGGCUCUGGAGUUGGUCGGGGGCAGCGGCAGAUUUGAGGCUUAACUAC
This is a long non-coding RNA of Sapajus apella (tufted capuchin), 1010 nucleotides long. RefSeq lists it as uncharacterized. The transcript is spliced from 3 exons. The record is from RefSeq and is a predicted model, not a curated record. Lineage: Eukaryota; Metazoa; Chordata; Mammalia; Primates; Cebidae.